This is a small nucleolar RNA of Andrographis paniculata, 118 nucleotides long. RefSeq annotates it as small nucleolar RNA Z278. The transcript has a single exon. Lineage: Eukaryota; Viridiplantae; Streptophyta; Magnoliopsida; Lamiales; Acanthaceae. The record is from RefSeq and is a predicted model, not a curated record.
AUCAAUGAUGAGCCAUCCACAUAAUUGAGGUGUUGUUGAUUUCGGGACCCUGUUCAUCAGGGAGAACCUACCCGGAGUUGCUACACUUAAUUGUGAUAUUUCUGGAUGUUUCUGAGAU